RNAcentral lists this ribosomal RNA (435 nucleotides) under uncultured bacterium. RNAcentral's name for it is "partial 16S ribosomal RNA". It matches the Rfam family "Bacterial small subunit ribosomal RNA", at positions 29 to 507 of the family's 1533-position model. The record is from RNAcentral.
AGCGAACGCUGGCGGCAGGCUUAACACAUGCAAGUCGAGCGGGCGUAGCAAUACGUCAGCGGCAGACGGGUGAGUAACGCAUGGGAACGUACCUUUUGGUUCGGAACAACACAGGGAAACUUGUGCUAAUACCGGAUAAGCCCUUACGGGGAAAGAUUUAUCGCCGAAAGAUCGGCCCGCGUCUGAUUAGCUAGUUGGUGAGGUAACGGCUCACCAAGGCGACGAUCAGUAGCGGGUCUGAGAGGAUGAUCAGCCACAUUGGGACUGAGACACGGCCCAAACUCCUACGGGAGGCAGCAGUGGGGAAUAUUGGACAAUGGGGGCAACCCUGAUCCAGCCAUGCCGCGUGAGUGAUGAAGGCCCUAGGGUUGUAAAGCUCUUUUGUGCGGGAAGAUAAUGACGGUACCGCAAGAAUAAGCCCCGGCUAACUUCGUG